RNAcentral lists this ribosomal RNA (508 nucleotides) under uncultured Sphingobacteriales bacterium. Its description in RNAcentral is "bacterial SSU rRNA". It matches the Rfam family "Bacterial small subunit ribosomal RNA", at positions 903 to 1382 of the family's 1533-position model. Lineage: Bacteria; Pseudomonadati; Bacteroidota; Sphingobacteriia; Sphingobacteriales. The record is from RNAcentral.
UGCGCCUUGCCAGCCCGCUCAGAAACUUAAAUGAAUUUGACGGGGGCCCGCACAAGCGGAGGAGCAUGUGGUUUAAUUCGAUGAUACGCGAGGAACCUUACCUGGGCUCGAACGUAAGAUGACUGUAGGUGAAAGCUUACAUCUCUUCGGAGCAUUUUACGAGGUGCUGCAUGGUUGUCGUCAGCUCGUGCCGUGAGGUGUCGGGUUAAGUCCCAUAACGAGCGCAACCCCUACCUUUAGUUGCCAUCAGGUUAAGCUGGGGACUCUAAAGGAACUGCCUACGCAAGUAGUGAGGAAGGCGGGGAUGACGUCAAGUCAUCAUGGCCCUUACGGCCUGGGCUACACACGUGCUACAAUGGUCGGUACAAAGGGUUGCCAAGCCGCGAGGUGGAGCUAAUCCCAUAAAACCGAUCGUAGUCCGGAUCGCAGUCUGCAACUCGACUGCGUGAAGUCGGAAUCGCUAGUAAUCGUGAAUCAGAAUGUCACGGUGAAUACGUUCCCGGGCCUU